CCCCAGACUCCUACGGGAGGCAGCAGUGGGGAAUAUUGCACAAUGGGGGGAACCCUGAUGCAGCGACGCCGCGUGGGUGAAGGAGCACCUCGGUGCGUAAAGCCCUAUCGGCAGGGAAGAAACAGACGGUACCUGACUAAGAAGCCCCGGCUAACUACGUGCCAGCAGCCGCGGUAAUACGUAGGGGGCAAGCGUUAUCCGGAUUCACUGGGUGUAAAGGGAGCGUAGACGGCGACGCAAGUCUGGAGUGAAACCCCGGGGCUCAACCCCGGGCAUGCAUUGGAAACUGGCGGGCUGGAGUGCCGGAGAGGUAAGCGGAAUUCCUAGUGUAGCGGUGAAAUGCGUAGAUAUUAGGAGGAACACCAGUGGCGAAGGCGGCUUACUGGACGGCAACUGACGCUGAGGCUCGAAAGCGUGGGGAGCAAACAGGAUUAGAUACCCGUGUA
This 446-nucleotide ribosomal RNA is filed under the name uncultured bacterium. RNAcentral's name for it is "partial 16S ribosomal RNA". It matches the Rfam family "Bacterial small subunit ribosomal RNA", at positions 329 to 792 of the family's 1533-position model. The record is from RNAcentral.